CCUACGGGGGGCAGCAGUGAGGAAUAUUGGUCAAUGGACGAGAGUCUGAACCAGCCAAGUAGCGUGAAGGAUGACUGCCCUCUGGGUUGUAAACUUCUUUUAUAAGGGAAUAAAACGAGGCACGUGUGCCUUUUUGCAUGUACUUUAUGAAUAAGGAUCGGCUACCUACGUGCCAGCAGCCGCGGUAAUACGGAGGAUCCGAGCGUUAUCCGGAUUUAUUGGGUUUAAAGGGAGCGUAGAUGGGUUGUUAAGUCAGUUGUGAAAGUUUGCGGCUCAACCGUAAAAUUGCAAUUGAUACUGGCAGUCUUGAGUACAGUUGAGGUAGGCGGAAUUCGUGGUGUAGCGGUGAAAUGCUUAGAUAUCACGAAGAACCCCGAUGGCGAAGGCAGCUUACUAAACUGUGACUGACAUUGAUGCUCGAAAGUGUGGGGAUCAAACAGGAUUAGAUACCCCGGUAGUC
RNAcentral lists this ribosomal RNA (460 nucleotides) under uncultured bacterium. RNAcentral describes it as "partial 16S ribosomal RNA". It matches the Rfam family "Bacterial small subunit ribosomal RNA", at positions 338 to 795 of the family's 1533-position model. The record is from RNAcentral.